CAUACCCAGAUCAUGGUGAAAGUAGCAGAGAUAGUGUUGGCGUUUCAGACACUUUCAGGAAACCUGUGACUCAGAGUUUUGUUAGGUUUGAUAUUCUUCCAACGUCAUUGAUCUCUUUCCCAUUUAUAACAGCCAAACAGACAGCGAACACUUAACAGAUUCCAUGCAGUAGUUAUUCUCACGGCAGUCGCUAUAGGGACAAUAAUUGAAGGAGGCUAUAGUAACCACAUGGAAUUGGACUACGGCGCAAAUUGAGGAUUUUGAGGUGUGCGUCAUGGGCAGUGUUAGUAGUAGCAGGGGUUACUGUAGUAGCAUUGUAGGGAGAGUCUAUGUUGUCAGGAAAUGACCCAUGCGUUGCAGUGUGUAUAUUCCCAGGUGAAAGCGGCACAUGAGGAGCAGGAGAUAACCGAGAGAACGGGCUGAAUUCUGGAGAUUGAGUGUACAUCAAGAUACACCUGGAGGGGGUGUUGGGACAGCGUUGGUCUGGUCUACACACAGUACUCCUUACAGCACCUGCAGUGGUAAAGAUCGUCUCUCCUCGGUGGGUUCACCCUUCUCACGUGAAGUGAGGUCCAGCUGCAUAAUGGGUGAGCUUGAAGACGCAGUGACAGAGGAAGCGGAGCUAAAGAGAGAGAGAAAGAGUAGAUUCCACUAUAGACAUGCAGAUGGGUUGGGUCUUGGAGCUACUUUAACCACCAUAGUUGGGUUGGGUUAGUUGCUUUAUUGGUUAAUGCAUCAGAUGAAAGGAUAGAUGUUGGGGUAAUUGUACUCUGGACAACAUUCUGGAGGCAUUGAUGUGAAAGCAUAUACAGUGCUGGGUUACCUCAAGAGGAUGUAGCGUUGAUUAGGGAUACGCAUUCGCCUAUCAGGUGACGUGCCUAUCAGGUGGCAAUGGAGGAGGAAAGAGAUGAGGAACAAAGUGAAAAUGACAUGGCUUGGGAACACCUCUUGGAUCCUGUGGUCUGACGGGGAAGACUGGGCGAAAGCAUGAGGAGGGUUUUUAAGGCUUUCAUUUUUGCCAAACUCAGCAGAAAAGUAUCCUGAAGGCAUAGUCAGACUGUCUCAAAACAUCUGAACCUGAGGAGCAGCGAGUUCUCCACAGAGAGCUUCAGGGUCACCUGGGAACACUCAGCCCAAGACGUGGUCCUCUACACUCACCUGGACCCCAACCAGAGGAGGAGCACUAAUGAGGUGGAGAUGAGAGGUCGAGACGCUGGAGGUCAAUUCGGAGUCUGAGGACCGCGUGGACAACAGUGGAUGCAUCAAUUCAGGCUAGGCUAAGUGUAGGCCUAAUGACAAUGGCAGAAUGUCAUCACAAUACACCUAGGUGUUUUGUAACAGGUGUCUCUUUCCAUUCAUCACAUUGCGGCUGCUCAGUGCACUGUUGGGGUUUGGUUGCUGAAACUAUUUAGUGAGUGGACGAAUGUUCGCAGAUAGCCUAUAGGAGCGCCUUUGUUAAGCGAUUGUUUGGCAGUCAGAUGAAAACCUCCUGACUGGUUGUGUUUAUUCCACAUUAAAAGGCAUAGGCGGCGUAUCCAUAAGGCUAGGGGAAGCUACGCUUUCACUAAAGUAAAUAUAAUUAAAUUGCUAAAAUUAUAUAGCCUAAUUAGCUUACUCCUGUCUAUACAGAAAUAAAUAAAAUCAUUGAAAAUCGGAUACUACACCAGAAAGCAUGAUUUGGCCUACAGUUGGAAGAGCCCGCAUGUUGGGCAGCACGUGCUGCAAAUACAAAAUAGAUUAUUGUUGAGAUGUGACUGUCAGUGAAAAGCAGAGACCCAGCAAUGCAUAUCAUAUUAUUUAUUUCAAUGAUUUCCUUAUAUGAACUGUAAGUCGGUAAAAUCUGUGAUAUUUUUUCAUCUUGUGUUUAUAUUUUUGUUCAGUAUAUAAUAAUGUUAUGGUAAAUUUAAGCAUUUUAUGAUUAUUCCUCGUGACUACUUGUUUUGUUCCACAGUUUGUCAUGGUUAUAAUAUCAGUAUGUGCAUGUAGUUUAGAGUUUCAAUUUUUAAUGUCAUGUGCACAAGUACAGUGAAAUGCCUUUCUUGCAAGCUCUAAACCCAACAAUGCAGUAAUCAAUAAUAAGAUGUAUAGAUGUUUGUGAUGAUAUUGUACACAGUAAGUGCCAGGAAAUGUGUGUGUGCAAUAUCAAGUAACCCAAU
Molecule: long non-coding RNA, 2156 nt
Filed under: Salmo salar (Atlantic salmon)
Lineage: Eukaryota; Metazoa; Chordata; Actinopteri; Salmoniformes; Salmonidae
Description: lncRNA (ENSSSAG00000119837.1)
Source: RNAcentral